Sus scrofa (pig) is the source of this 5388-nucleotide non-coding RNA. The record is from RefSeq and is a predicted model, not a curated record. Lineage: Eukaryota; Metazoa; Chordata; Mammalia; Artiodactyla; Suidae.
UCCAGGGGAGGGUCCAUCCUGCCUCUGCCAGCUUCUGGGGGCUCCAGGUGGCCCUGGGCUGGUGGCCACCUCCCUCCCAUCUCUGUCCCUAUCUCAAGUGGCUUCUCUUCUGUGUCUGGGUCUCCUGUCUCUUAGGAAGACACUGUCCUGGGAUGGAGGGCCCCCCUCAUCCAGGAGGACCUCCUCUCAGACCCUGCCCAUGGCUUCUCCUGUGUGUCUUCGCUGUUAGAAGGACACGUGUUAUGAGAUGUAGGGGCAACCUUCAUCCAUGAGGACCUGGUCCCUGGCACCCAGACCCAAAAACCUUAGCACUUUCUUGAUCCCUUUGAGCAGAGCACCUGUGGUUUUCCCCAAGAAAGCCAAGCACACCUGUUUCUGCUAAUGAGGUGGGACUGCUUGUCUGAGGAACCAUCCACGUGGUGAGACGGUUGGCUUUUUUAGCUCCACCCCCAACCUCCAGGGCCAAAGAUUUUCCCCUCUAGAGGGGAACCUCCCUAAAAAAAAGGGUUCGUAGAGCUUCUGGGUUGGGGAGCCCACAGUUGGGAGAAUGCUGCACCCCACACUCCAUGGGGACAGAAGCCCCUGAAUGUGGGACCCUCACCCACUCCCACCCCGACGUCGCCCUCCCCCUCUGGCUGUUCACCCCUUUAUCAGCAACAGGGAAGUCACGGGUUUCCUGACCUCUGUGGGAAGGGCACCCUCUGUCUGCAGGCGGUUGUACAGAAGUGGGGGUGAUCUGUGCCCCGCCUGUGGCUGGUGUUGAGGUGGGGGCUGUUUGCGGCGGCUGGGCCCCCUGCUCGACACAGGUUUGCAUCAACUCGGGGUUUCGGAGGUGAAUCAAAUUGGAGGCCACCCAGCUGGGGUCCAAAGGUAACUGGAGGAUUCCUUGGGGUGGAAACACAGCACGUUGGGUGUCAGAAGCCCUGUGAGCAGAGAAACAAUUUUCCUUUAACAAGCAAAACUGUGUUUAUGCAUGUUGAGCUAACACCUCCACCUGGAGGACCUCCCUGAUUUCUCCCUUUCCCUGUAAGACUGUCUGCCUUGAAAAGUCAGAAGCAGUCAGCUCAAGCACCAAUUAGAUCAUUCCCGAACCUGCUUCAAACCCUUGGUGGUUUCCAUGGAAGUUAGAAAAAGACAAAUGGCUUCCCCUGUCCCGCUGAUUGAGGCGGGGUGGCUUGUGCAGGGCGGGCAAGGAUUUGGAACCGCUUUGGGGCUGGUGGCAACCACCUCCCCUGGUCCAUCUCAGGUUAUAAUCUGUGUGCUAUGCCUUCAUGACAGUGACAAUAUUUCAUGACUUGGGUGUGACACAGGGAAGGGAUGACAACACUGGGGACUCGUCCUUGUGCCCAACCUUCUAAGAGCAGACACUUUGCUUUUGCAAGACUGAGGUUCAUCGUCUCUGGAAAUAAAGCUGCCUGUUUUUUGGUUUCUCCUGACAGGUGUGUCUCUGCAAUGUAAGACUACACGAGUUGAGUCUCGAAGUAACAGUAACAGCUGUGAUUUGUAGUCUUCGUAUUUUUGGUUUUUGGGGGUGGUGGUAAUUAAUGACCACAAAUCACUGGGGUUAAAACCACAGUACCCAUCCUCCCCCAACAUGGAGAGCCGAGGUCGAAGGCCAAGGGGUCCCAGGGUUGUGUUCCCCCCAGAAGCUCCAAGGGAGGGUCCUUCCUGCCCCUUCCAGGUCUGGGGGCUCCAGCUGGCCCUGGGCUAGUGGCCACCUCCCUCCCAUCUCUGGCUGCAUCUUCUUGUGGCUUCGGCUUUCUUAUCUCUUUUGUGAUAAUUAUUCCACUGAAGGAGCAUCUUCAUCCUUGAGGAUCUGGUCCCUUGCACAGAGCUCAAAGAACCGUAGCAAUUUCUUGAUCCCUUUGAGGAGAGCAUCUCUUGUGGUUUUUCCUGAGAAACCCAAGCACACCUGUGUUCAUGCUAAUGCGAUUUAUGCUAAUGAGGUGGGCUGGUUGCCAGAGGAACCAACAAGGUGAUUAAAGGGUUGGCUUUUUAAGCUCCACCCCAAACCUCGGGAUUUGCUGAGGAGUCAAGGCUUGAACCAGUCCUACUUGGCAGAAGCUCCCUCAAAUAGGGGUUCAUAGAGCUUCCAGAUUGGGGAGGCCACAGUUGGGAGGGUGCUGCACCCCAAACUCCAUGAAGACAAGCUCCUGCAUGUGGGACUCCCCAAACCUUGCCCUCCUCCUCUGGGUGUUGACCUCUUUAUGAACAACAGGUAGAUUGCAUUGGAGGACACCGAGCUGGGGUCCAAAGGGAACUGGAGGGUUCCUUGGUGUGGAAAUGCCCCACGCUGGGUGUCAGAAGCGCUGUGAGCAGGGAAAUCAUUUUCCCUUAACAGUGAAAUGUGUUUCUGCUUUUCCACAAACAUCUCCUCCUGGCAGACCUCCGAGACCUCAGCCUUCUCCCUGUUACCCAUUCUUCUCUCUAUAAUCAGAGUGGAGUCUGUAAAGCACGAAUUGAAUCCUGUCCUCAUGUGCUUCACACCCCUGGUGGAUUUCAUGGCUGUUAGAAAAAGGACAAACAGCCCCACCUGUCCUGCUGACUGAGGCGGGGUGGCUGGUGAAGGGCGGGCACAGAUUUGGACACACUUUGGGACUGGUGGCAACCACCUCCCCUGGUACAUCUCAGGUUAUAAUCUGUGCUGUGGCUUCAUGACCUUGACAAUACUUCAUGACUUAUGUCUGACACAGGGAAGAGGUGACAACACUGGGGAAUCAUCCCUGUGCCCAAACGUCUAAGAGUAGGUGCUCUGCUUUUGCAAGGCUGAGGCUCACAAACUAUAGUUGGCUGUUUUUUGGUUUCUCCUGACAGGUGUGUCUAUGAAAUUUAAUUUUCAAUGUUGACUCUCAUGGAAUGAGAGUUGAUUUUCCUUGCUCUAUAAAUUGGUUUCAGGUGUGUGUGGGGGAGGUUGUGAUAAUAAAUGACCACAAAUCAUGUGGGGUAAAACCCCAGGAACCCACGUUCCCCCAGCCUGGAGAGUAAAUGCCUGAGGUCAAGGGGUCCCAGGGCUGCGCUCCUUCCAGAGGCCUUGGGGAGGGUCCGUCCUGCCUCUUCCAGCUUCUGGGGGCUCCAGGCGGCCCUGGGCUGGUGUUCACCUCCCUCCUGUCUCUGCCUCCGUCUCCCCAUGGCCUCUCUGCAUGGUCCCUUUUGUUACAAGCCCCUUGUUAAGGACUUAGGGAGCAUCUUCCUCCAUGAGGACCUGGUCCCUGGCCCACAGCUCCUAAAACAGUAAAAAUUUCUUGAUGCCUUUGAGUAGAGCAUCUUUGGUUUUUCCUAAUAAAGCCAAUCUCAUGUGUUCAUGCUAAUGAGGUGGGGCUGGCUGCCAGAGGAACCCAUCAGGUGAGGAAAGGGUUGGCUUUUUUAGCUCCACCCCCAACCUCCGGAGCUGCUGUGGGGCCAAGCCUUUAAUCAGCCCUACGGAGGGGAACCUCCCUAAAACGAGGGUUCAGAGAGCAUCUGGAUUGGGGAGCCCACAGUUGGGAGGGGGCUGCACCUCAAUUCCAUGGAGACAAGUUCCAGCAGGCGAGACCCACACCCACCUCACCCUCCGCUUCCCUGUCUGGCUGCUUACCCCUUGCUGAGCAACAGGUAAGUCUCAUGUGCCCUGAGUUCUGGGGGGCACCCUCCAUGUGCAGGAGGUUGGACAGAAGUGUGGGAGAUUUGGGUCCCUGCCGGUGGUUAGUGGUGAGAUGGGGGCUGGGCCCUUCUCGGCUGGGUCUUCGCCCACUCGGGGCCCUUUCUGAGGUGAACUGAAUUGGAGGACCCCCAGCUGGGGUCCGAAGGGAACUGGGGGAUUCUUUGGUAUGGAAAUGCCCCACGCUGGGUGUUAGAAGCACUGUGAGCAGAGAAAUAAUCUUCCUUUAACAAUGAAAUGUUUGCUUUUCCAUCAAACACCUCCUCCUGGCAGACCUCCGAGAUCUCACCCUUUCCCCUGUUAGCCAUUCUUCUGUGUAAUCAGUGAUUUCUCCAAAACACCAAUUAAUUCGUGUCUGUACCUGCUUCAUAACCCUCGGGUGUUUUCAUGGUUGUUAGAAAAGAACAAAGGGCUUCAGCUGUCCAGCUGACCCGAGGUGGGCGGCUAGUGAAGGGUAGGCACGGAUAUGGAACACGCUUUCGGGCUGGUGGCAUUGACCUCCCCCGGGUACAUCUCAGGUUAUAAUCUGUGUGCUAUGGCUUCAAAAUGUUGACAGUAUUUCAUGACUUGGGUCUGACACAGGCAAGAGGUGACAACACUGGGGACUCAUCCCUGUGCCCGACCAUCUAAGAGCAGACACUUUUUCAAGACUGAUGCUCACAUCUGUAAAUAGUUACCUGGGUCAUUGCUCUUCACAGGUGUAUCUGUGCAAGUUAAUUUAGCAUGGUUGAUUCCCGUGUAGGUAGGGAUUGGUGGUCUUUGCUGUGUAAAUUGGUUUUGGAGGGGGGCAGGGGUGAUAACGCAAAUCACGUGGGUUCAAAUCACAGGAACCCACUCUCCUCCCUUCUGGACACCAAACAUCGGAACUCAAGGGGUCCCAGGGCUGUGUUCCCUGCAAAAGCUCCAGGGAGGGUCCUUCCUGCCCCUUCCAGGUCUGGGGGCUCCUGGUGGCCCUGGGCUGGUGGCCACCUCCCUCCCAUCUCUGCCUCCAUCUUCUUGUGGCUUCGGCUCUGUGUCAUCUCUUUUGUGGUAAACAUAUUAUUCGCUUGAGAGAGCAAUUCAUCAUUGAGAAUCUGGUUCCUUUCACAGAGCUCGAGAAAACUUAACAAUGUCUUGAUCCUUUUGAGGAGAGCAUUUCUUGUGGUUUUUCGUAAGAAACCCAAGCACACCUGUGUUCAUGCUCAUGCGAGUUAUGCUAAUGAGGUGGGGCUGGUUGCCAGAGGAACCAACAAGGUGAUUAAAGGGUUGGCUUUUUAAGCUCCACCCCAAACCUCGGGAGUUGCUGAGGGGCCAAGGCUUGAACCAGUCCUACUUGGCAGAGGCUCCCUCAAAAGGGGCUCAUAGAGCUUCCAGAGUGGGGAGCCCACAGUUGGCAGGGUGCUGCACCCCAAACUCCAUGAAGACAAGCUCCUGCACGUGGGGACUCCCCCAACCUUGCCCUCGCCCUCCUCCUGUGGGUGUUGACCUCUUUAUGAGCAACAGAUUCAAAGUGAAAGAGGCAAAACGUUCUUUUCCUUGUGGUAAGAACUGUCAGGAUUGGCUCUCAACACCCUUGGUGCAUAAGGUGUGUUGGUGCUGAUGCCAUUCGUCCUGUACGUUUCAUCCCAGGACCAACGUGUCUGAUGCCCUGUCGGUGGUACCUUCCCCUCCCCCUCCAGCCUCGGGGAACCACACAUCUCUUCCCUUCUGCUGUGAGUUUGUUUUGGGGACAAAAUUGACCUUCAGCACUCAUGCUGUUCCUCCUACACAAC